GUACAGAUGGAUACAACCUAUCGGGUGGGGAUUAGUGGCGAACGGGUGAGUAACACGUGGGCAAUCUGCCCUGCACUCUGGGACAAGCCCUGGAAACGGGGUCUAAUACCGGAUACUGAGCCUCGCAGGCAUCUGCGGGGUUCGAAAGCUCCGGCGGUGCAGGAUGAGCCCGCGGCCUAUCAGCUUGUUGGUGAGGUAACGGCUCACCAAGGCGACGACGGGUAGCCGGCCUGAGAGGGCGACCGGCCACACUGGGACUGAGACACGGCCCAGACUCCUACGGGAGGCAGCAGUGGGGAAUAUUGCACAAUGGGCGAAAGCCUGAUGCAGCGACGCCGCGUGAGGGAUGACGGCCUUCGGGUUGUAAACCUCUUUCAGCAGGGAAGAAGCGAAAGUGACGGUACCUGCAGAAGAAGCGCCGGCUAACUACGUGCCAGCAGCCGCGGUAAUACGUAGGGCGCGAGCGUUGUCCGGAAUUAUUGGGCGUAAAGAGCUCGUAGGCGGCUUGUCGCGUCGGUUGUGAAAGCCCGGGGCUUAACCCCGGGUCUGCAGUCGAUACGGGCAGGCUAGAGUUCGGUAGGGGAGAUCGGAAUUCCUGGUGUAGCGGUGAAAUGCGCAGAUAUCAGGAGGAACACCGGUGGCGAAGGCGGAUCUCUGGGCCGAUACUGACGCUGAGGAGCGAAAGCGUGGGGAGCGAACA
RNAcentral lists this ribosomal RNA (700 nucleotides) under Streptomyces sp. RNAcentral describes it as "bacterial SSU rRNA". It matches the Rfam family "Bacterial small subunit ribosomal RNA", at positions 64 to 774 of the family's 1533-position model. Lineage: Bacteria; Bacillati; Actinomycetota; Actinomycetes; Kitasatosporales; Streptomycetaceae. The record is from RNAcentral.